GUAGGUGAACCUGCGGAAGGAUCAUUACAAAAUACCUACGCCGGCCUCUCGGGGCUGUGUGUUUCUAUUUACCCACCCUUUGCCUAUGUGUACCCUUAUCGCUUCCUCGGCAGGUCCGCCUGCCGCCAGGAACCCCAUAAACCCUUUGCAUUUAUACAAGAAAACUUCUGAUACAAACCUAAAUUAUUACAACUUUUAACAAUGGAUCUCUUGGUUCUGGCAUCGAUGAAGAACGCAGCAUCUGACUGAC
This 250-nucleotide unclassified non-coding RNA is filed under the name plant metagenome. Its description in RNAcentral is "partial contains small subunit ribosomal RNA, internal transcribed spacer 1, and 5.8S ribosomal RNA". The record is from RNAcentral.